Molecule: ribosomal RNA, 268 nt
Filed under: uncultured bacterium
Lineage: Bacteria
Description: partial 16S ribosomal RNA
Rfam family: Bacterial small subunit ribosomal RNA
Source: RNAcentral
AUGCCUAACACAUGCAAGUCGAACGCACUCUUCGGAGUGAGUGGCGCACGGGUGAGUAACGCGUGGGAACCUGCCCCGAGGUACGGAAUAACGGCUGGAAACGGCCGCUAAUACCGUUUGUGUCCUGAGGGAGAAAGAUUUAUCGCCUUGGGAGGGGCCCGCGUCCGAUUAGCUAGUUGGUGAGGUAAUGGCUCACCAAGGCAGUGAUCGGUAGCUGGUCUGAGAGGAUGAUCAGCCACACUGGGACUGAGACACGGCCCCAGACUCC